This 403-nucleotide ribosomal RNA is filed under the name uncultured bacterium. Its description in RNAcentral is "partial 16S ribosomal RNA". It matches the Rfam family "Bacterial small subunit ribosomal RNA", at positions 28 to 526 of the family's 1533-position model. The record is from RNAcentral.
GACGAACGCUGGCGGCGUGCCUAAUACAUGCAAGUCGAACGCAGUGGGGACGGGCGAGUAACACGUGGGUAACCUGCCAUCAGAGGUGAUAAGACUUGGAAACAGGUGCUAAACCGAUAGUGAUGGAUGGUCCCGCGGUUAAUUAGCUAGUUGGUGGGCGAACGGCUCCACAAGUCCACGAUGCAUAGCCGACCUGAGAGGGUGAUCGGCCAAACUGGGAAUGGAGCACGGCCCAAGCUCCUACGGGAGGCAGCAGUAGGGAAUCUUCGGCAAUGGACGAAAGGCUGACCGAGCAAAGGCGGGUGAGUGAAGAAGGGUUUCGGAGCGUAAAACUCUGUUGUGAGAGAAGCGGUAUCUAACAAGAAAGCCACGGCUAACCACGGGCCAGCCGCCGCGGUAAUUC